AGGUGAUGUUUCUGCAACGUACAGUCUAAAAAAGUCAUCCAGUAUUUUGAAAGGAGAGAUUGCCUUCAUCAAGCAACUACAGAAAUGGUUGGGAGAGAAGUGUAAAUGGAAUCUUUGUUACAGAGCUUCCAGGGAUGGUUGGAGUGUCCAAGAUUUUCACAAACAUUGUGACAAUAAAGGACCGACAGUGGUUUUAGUGAAAGCCAAUGAUUGUAUUUUUGGAGGAUAUACUGACCAACACUGGGAUGG
Molecule: long non-coding RNA, 249 nt
Filed under: Paramuricea clavata
Lineage: Eukaryota; Metazoa; Cnidaria; Anthozoa; Malacalcyonacea; Plexauridae
Source: RNAcentral